CAUUGAGAUGAUGAUAUCCUUUUUUCUGAAUUAAAACAUAAUGUAGACUUAAAAUUAUCAGGCUACAAUUAUCUGAUCAUUA
Molecule: small nucleolar RNA, 82 nt
Organism: Hibiscus syriacus
Lineage: Eukaryota; Viridiplantae; Streptophyta; Magnoliopsida; Malvales; Malvaceae
Product: small nucleolar RNA Z155
Exons: 1
Source: RefSeq, a predicted model, not a curated record